RNAcentral lists this ribosomal RNA (247 nucleotides) under uncultured bacterium. Its description in RNAcentral is "partial 16S ribosomal RNA". It matches the Rfam family "Bacterial small subunit ribosomal RNA", at positions 110 to 353 of the family's 1533-position model. The record is from RNAcentral.
GUAACGCGUGAGGAACCUGCCUCAAAGAGGGGGACAACAGUUGGAAACGACUGCUAAUACCGCAUAAGCCCACAGCUCGGCAUCGAGCAGAGGGAAAAGGAGUGAUCCGCUUUGAGAUGGCCUCGCGUCCGAUUAGCUAGUUGGUGAGGUAAUGGCCCACCAAGGCGACGAUCGGUAGCCGGACUGAGAGGUUGAACGGCCACAUUGGGACUGAGACACGGCCCAGACUCCUACGGGAGGCAGCAUG